This 408-nucleotide ribosomal RNA is filed under the name uncultured bacterium. Its description in RNAcentral is "partial 16S ribosomal RNA". It matches the Rfam family "Bacterial small subunit ribosomal RNA", at positions 28 to 526 of the family's 1533-position model. The record is from RNAcentral.
GACGAACGCUGGCGGCGUGCUUAACACAUGCAAGUCGAACGAAGUGGCGAACGGGUGAGUAACGCUUAAUCAACCUGCCCUUCAGAGGGGUACAACAGUUGGAAACGACUGCUAAUACCGCCUACUGACGGCGGGGCUUGCGUCUGAUUAGCUAUUUGGAGGGGUAACGGCCCACCAAGGCGAUGAUCAGUAGCCGGUCCGGGAGGAUGAACCGCGACAUUGGGACUGGGACCCGGCUCAGACUCCUACGGGAGGCAGCAGUGGGGAAUAUUCCGCAAUGGAAGAAAGUGUGACGGAGCAACGCGGCGUGAGUGAUGACGGCCUUCGGGUUGUAAAGCUCUGUUAAUCGGGACGCGGUACCGGAAUAGAAAGCCACGGCUAACUACGUGCCAGCAGCCGCGGUAAUUC